This 432-nucleotide ribosomal RNA is filed under the name uncultured bacterium. RNAcentral describes it as "partial 16S ribosomal RNA". It matches the Rfam family "Bacterial small subunit ribosomal RNA", at positions 29 to 507 of the family's 1533-position model. The record is from RNAcentral.
AACGAACGCUGGCGGCAUGCCUAACACAUGCAAGUCGAACGAGACCUUCGGGUCUAGUGGCGCACGGGUGCGUAACGCGUGGGAACCUGCCCUUAGGUUCGGAAGAACUCCCCGAAAGGGGUGCUAAUACCGGAUAAUGUCUUCGGACCAAAGUUUUAUCGCCUUUGGGUGGUCCGCGGUGGAUUCGCUAGUUGGUAGGGUAAAAGCCUACCAAGUCGACGAUGCAUAGCUGGUCUGUGAGGAUGAUCAGCCACACUGGGACUGAGACACGGCCCAGACUCCUACGGGAGGCAGCAGUGGGGAAUAUUGGACAGUGGGCGAAAGCCUGAUCCAGCACUGCCUCGUGAGUGAUGAAGGCCUUAGGGUUGUAAAGCUCUUUUACCCGGGAUGAUAAUGACAGUACCGGCAGAAUAAGCUCCGGCUAACUCCGUG